RNAcentral lists this transfer RNA (71 nucleotides) under Rattus norvegicus (Norway rat). It matches the Rfam family "tRNA". From Rfam's summary of the family: Transfer RNA (tRNA) molecules are approximately 80 nucleotides in length. Their secondary structure includes four short double-helical elements and three loops (D, anti-codon, and T loops). Lineage: Eukaryota; Metazoa; Chordata; Mammalia; Rodentia; Muridae. The record is from Rfam by way of RNAcentral.
GUGAUGAUAGCUCAGUAAUAGAGCACUUGCUUGGCAUGUGUGAGGCUCUGGGUUCAAACCCCAGCGCUACA